GUAUAUAACUUUAUGGGCACUAAAGACCCAGAUCAACAUUCUAUUACAUUCGUAGGAGUAUGUGAAUAACAUAGAACCCAGAGAGACAAGGGAAAGCCGGCACUUCCAUUCGAAAGGCACAGCAGUCCCCAAAUUGCUCAAGACAAUUCUCCAAGGUCUACAAAAAGGUGCACAGGUGGAAGAAAAAACAAUAAUAAUGACAAGCGUGCACGGAGCCAGCAACAGCCUAUCAAAUAUUUUAUCUCAAUAAUGAUCCUUCCGCAGGUUCACCUACGGAAA
Molecule: unclassified non-coding RNA, 279 nt
Filed under: uncultured fungus
Lineage: Eukaryota; Fungi
Description: sequence contains ITS1
Source: RNAcentral